UACGAAGGGGGCUAGCGUUGCUCGGAAUCACUGGGCGUAAAGGGUGCGUAGGCGGGUCUUUAAGUCAGGGGUGAAAUCCUGGAGCUCAACUUCAGAACUGCCUUUGAUACUGAGGGCCUUGAGACCGGAAGAGGUCGGCGGAACUGCGAGUGUAGAGGUGAAAUUCGUAGAUAUUCGCAAGAACACCAGUGGCGAAGGCGGCCGACUGGUCCGGUUCUGACGCUGAGGCGCGAAAGCGUGGGGAGCAAACAGG
RNAcentral lists this ribosomal RNA (253 nucleotides) under uncultured bacterium. RNAcentral describes it as "partial 16S ribosomal RNA". It matches the Rfam family "Bacterial small subunit ribosomal RNA", at positions 524 to 776 of the family's 1533-position model. The record is from RNAcentral.